GACGAACGCUGGCGGCGUGCUUAACACAUGCAAGUCGAACGGAAAGGCCCUGCUUUUGUGGGGUGCUCGCGUGGCGAACGGGUGAGUAACCCGUGAGUAACCUGCCCUUGACUUUGGGAUAACUUCAGGCAACUGGGGCUAAUACCGGAUAGGAGCUCCUGCUGCAUGGUGGGGGUUGGAAAGUUUCGGCGGUUGGGGAUGGACUCGCGGCUUAUCAGCUUGUUGGUGGGGUAGUGGCUUACCAAGGCUUUGACGGGUAGCCGGCCUGAGAGGGUGACCGGCCACAUUGGGACUGAGAGACGGCCCAGACGCCUACGGGAGGCAGCAGUGGGGAGUAUUGCACAAUGGGCGGAAGCCUGAUGCAGCAGCGCCGCGUGCGGGAUGACGGCCUUCGGGUUGUAAACCGCUUUCGCCUGUGACGAAGCGUGAGUGACGGUAAUGGGUAAAGAAGCACCGGCUAACUACGUG
Molecule: ribosomal RNA, 468 nt
Filed under: uncultured bacterium
Lineage: Bacteria
Description: partial 16S ribosomal RNA
Rfam family: Bacterial small subunit ribosomal RNA
Source: RNAcentral